AGAGGGAGAGAGGGAGAGAGAGAGGGAGAAGAAUUCUCUUCACCGCUUUGAAAUCUAGCAAAUGAAUACCGAGUCAUUGAAUUCAUAUGGUUUCAGAUCAUAGUUCAAGAUGCUGUGUUACAGUCAGUACCACAAUAGUAGAAGCUUAUUUGAAUAAAACUUGUAAAUUAUUUAACAAAAUUAUCUCCCAAGACAUUAAAAUUUGAAAAACAAAAUAGAGAGAUAGAGGGGAUUAUUUCCCCAGACUGUGUAGCCAGAGACAAGUUGUUUUCUGCUGAUGAUGGUAGGAUAGAACUUUAACAAAAGUCAUCAGAUUCCAUCCCACCAUGGAAACUGAGCACAACAAGAAAAAAGGUAACUUAGAACCUUAGCGUUACAUCAUACCUCUUUGAUUAUCCCACACUUGG
Molecule: unclassified non-coding RNA, 407 nt
Filed under: Hevea brasiliensis (rubber tree)
Lineage: Eukaryota; Viridiplantae; Streptophyta; Magnoliopsida; Malpighiales; Euphorbiaceae
Source: RNAcentral